Long non-coding RNA from Labrus mixtus (cuckoo wrasse), 1174 nucleotides. RefSeq lists it as uncharacterized. The transcript has 2 exons. Lineage: Eukaryota; Metazoa; Chordata; Actinopteri; Labriformes; Labridae. The record is from RefSeq and is a predicted model, not a curated record.
AAAUCUCACAAAUGUCUGCACAGUUUACAUUCAGUUUAUCACAAUGAACAAACAUGACAAACAUGGUUUGACUCUAAGAGGAUCAUGGAGAAUGAACAGAUGGAGGAACAAUUUGGAUCCACAGUUAACACUUUUAUCUUCGACAUUUUGACGGACUGAAUUCAGUUAUUUAAAAAAAUCAGACUUUCCUAGUGUGCUUUAAUCUGAUGUCUUUAUUCUACCUGUCGUCAUAUUUAAUAUAAUUGUUUCAUGCCUCCAUUCUGUUAACAGAUCACUGUGAAGGCAUUAUGUUAGUCCAUACAGUCAGACGCCCUGUUUUCUUGAAUUUGAUUUCCCUGAAUCCCUGGAAUAUCCUUAAAAAUGACCCUAUCAGCCUCAUAGACUUCAAGAUUGUUGGUCAAUGCAAUUCAUGAAUAAUGUCUAAGUACCGCCUUGAAAAAACUUCUUGUCCGUGGACUAUUUCCCAUGGCGGCUCUACCCUAUGCAUACAUGUUCUGUCUUCUGUAGGGAGGUAUUUUAUCCCCCCUGUGAAAGACUACUACUUCUGCAGUUGUUUUGAUAUAAUAUGGGUUUUUUUUAUGUUAAAUUUAGAAAUAUAUCUAAAGUCUCGACCACAGUUUCACUGUCAUUCUGUGGGAAAACUGUUUGUGAAUGGAACAUUUUCCUUCCAGGUGUAAUCACUCAACUGUAGGAGUAAGUGUUUCCCUAAACCCUUAUUUUGCCUCCUGUCAACCUUCUUCAAGGUUUGAACACAUUAACUGUAUACAGAUGAACAACAGUCCUCCCGUUGUUCAAAAGUGAAUCCAAAAUUUAGCCCCAAUAAAUACUUGAAAAAUACUCGUACAUAAAUCAACAUAAGAACCAACUAUAAUGACAGAAACCAUGUUUGAGGAAAAUGAAUUUGACCUGUAUUUUGAUGUAUUAGCUUGAUCAGUUUCCCAUCUGUUAACAUGGAAGAGGAGGUGGAGCUUGUGACCUAUACUGCAGCCAGUCAGUAGGGGGAGCUCCAAAUGUUUUGGCUUCACUUUUGGGAUGCUGUCAUGUCAUCCUUCUUUUUAUACAGUCUGUCGUCGAACAUUUCAAGACUCUACACUGUCAUUUGUGUGGGUUUCCUUUUAUAAAAAUCUAAAAUUAUUUACUGGCACCUGCGCAUGCUUUCUGGCUCAAGAUUUUU